GGACACGGUGGCUUAGUGGUCAGAACGUCUGCCUCACACGCCUGUGGCUGGGGUUCGAACCCCGCUUCCG
This is a non-coding RNA of Pangasianodon gigas (Mekong giant catfish), 70 nucleotides long. The record is from the annotation of a GenBank genome assembly. Lineage: Eukaryota; Metazoa; Chordata; Actinopteri; Siluriformes; Pangasiidae.